RNAcentral lists this ribosomal RNA (525 nucleotides) under Fusarium culmorum. RNAcentral's name for it is "eukaryotic LSU rRNA". The stretch from base 164 to 317 matches the Rfam family "5.8S ribosomal RNA". Lineage: Eukaryota; Fungi; Ascomycota; Sordariomycetes; Hypocreales; Nectriaceae. The record is from RNAcentral.
GCGGAGGGAUCAUUACCGAGUUUACAACUCCCAAACCCCUGUGAACAUACCUUAUGUUGCCUCGGCGGAUCAGCCCGCGCCCCGUAAAAAGGGACGGCCCGCCGCAGGAACCUUAAACUCUGUUUUUAGUGGAACUUCUGAGUAUAAAAAACAAAUAAAUCAAAACUUUCAACAACGGAUCUCUUGGUUCUGGCAUCGAUGAAGAACGCAGCAAAAUGCGAUAAGUAAUGUGAAUUGCAGAAUUCAGUGAAUCAUCGAAUCUUUGAACGCACAUUGCGCCCGCCAGUAUUCUGGCGGGCAUGCCUGUUCGAGCGUCAUUUCAACCCUCAAGCCCAGCUUGGUGUUGGGAGCUGCAGUCCUGCUGCACUCCCCAAAUACAUUGGCGGUCACGUCGAGCUUCCAUAGCGUAGUAAUUUACAUAUCGUUACUGGUAAUCGUCGCGGCCACGCCGUUAAACCCCAACUUCUGAAUGUUGACCUCGGAUCAGGUAGGAAUACCCGCUGAACUUAAGCAUAUCAAUAAGCC